GCCGGGCGCGGUGGCUCACGCCUGUAAUCCCAGCCCUUUGGGAGGCCGAGGCGGGCGGAUCACCUGAGGUCAGGAGUUCAAGACCAGCCUGGCCAACAUGGUGAAACCCCGUCUCUA
This 117-nucleotide non-coding RNA is filed under the name Gorilla gorilla gorilla (western lowland gorilla). Lineage: Eukaryota; Metazoa; Chordata; Mammalia; Primates; Hominidae. The record is from Rfam by way of RNAcentral.